UUAGUUAUGGGUAAAAUGCGCAAAUAUUUUAAAAUAAGCAGGUGGUUAUAAAAUAUUCAUUGUUGUCGGGGAAUAUUCGUUUGGUCGUGAAAUAUUCUUGCUGUCGGGGAAUAUUCGUACGACGACGCAGUCUUUUGUGGGCCCCAUAACGGAAAGCGAUUGGAUGAAGAAAACGACAAGUAUAAGUUGUUUAUAAAUAACGACAUAGUUGUUACCGUUAACAUUGUUGGAAUACCCGAUGGUUAAAACACAGUAAUACGCGUUGUUGCACUGUAGCACACGGAAUUGCACCAAUUAUUGAUUCUUACGUAAGAAGACACUACUCAAUAAUUGUUACAGUAGUUACUGUUCAGUAUUUUAUUUUAUUGAUUCAAUAAUUGCUGCGUUGAUAUUUUAUAUUACUGUUGUUUCAAUAAUUGUCACUACACAGUAUUUUCCAUUAUCGAAGCAAUAAUUCAUAUUAUCUGAAUAAUAUUAUUAGAAAAC
This 486-nucleotide long non-coding RNA is filed under the name Panax ginseng (ginseng). RNAcentral's name for it is "long non-coding RNA (PGIN_LNC006382)". The record is from RNAcentral. Lineage: Eukaryota; Viridiplantae; Streptophyta; Magnoliopsida; Apiales; Araliaceae.